GGGCUGUGGCAACCGCCUGAAAGUUGGAGGCAAACGGGAGCCAGCAGGCUGCCAAUCAGCACUUCUCCUCUGAGUGCCCUGCCAGGCAGAUUGAAAGCCGUAAACAUUUUAGCACUUAGAACGAGGUUCAGCUCGCCAGAUGAAGUUUUCCCCACUUCUUCCUCCUAGGAGAAAAUAAAGUGAUAAGUGUUUUGCACGGCAGUCGGCUCCACUUCUGCCUCAGUGCGGGCAGCGAGGGGGAAGAGGUGGGAUCAAGAGCACUGUAAACACCAUCAGAUACAGGUGGGAAGAGUUUCUGCAACACACAGGGGGAAAGGCUGAUGACUUUCCUGGAAAACAUAUCUAUAUGUUCCUGUCAGACACCUCCUUAGCACCGUUUGGUCUGCCUGCGAGAGGUCAGAGUCGUUUUCUUUGAAUCUCAGGUCACUGGGUCACAAUGAUUGUGGGGCUCGUUGUUGAUUCAAAGCACUGAGUUAUGGAACUCAACGGAUGGGAUGAAUCUAACAAGGCAACCUAUGGUCAAGAUCCUCCAUACCUGCCCAUUGACCAUGCUGGCUGAAGCUGAUGAAAGUUGGAGUCCAGCAACAACUGAAGGGCCAGAGGCUCCUCAUGUACACUGACUGGAAGCAGCUUUGCAGGCUUUCAUAUAUGGAGAUGCUGGCCCUUGAACUUCAUGCAGACCAGGACUGCAUCCAAUUUGUAUGUUAUUCUGAUGAAAUGGUUUAAGCAAGAGAAAAUGAGGAGUUUGAAAAAUAAAGGAACGUUCCAGAGAAGAAAUGAAGUGCUAUCACUGAAAUCUUUAUUUAUGUGAAAAGAAAGGGCUAAAACAUUACCUCAGAAUUCAAGAUUACAACAUCAGUGGGACAUAAUGUAAAUCCAUUCUAGUGGCUAAACAUCAGAAGCCAUAAUCCUUUUUCAAAGACCUUUUGUUAUUUUAAUGUCUGACAAAUUAUGCUUUUUAAAAAAAAUAAAAAGGAGAGAGAGAGAAAGUAGAAAAACACUUACAUUUAAGAGGUUUCUUUUACUUCAGCAAAAGUAGUUUCCCUGUUUAAAAAGUUUUAAUUUUCCACAACCAAUAGUAUAUCUACCAGGCUGGCUAAGUAUUAACACAAGAGCAGCAUAGUUAUGUAGUUUCAAUAGGUUUCCGUACAAAGUUAACCACCAAAGAUUUUUUUGCAUCAAGUUGUUAUGGCAACUCCACUUCUAAAAAGCACUUAAAAUUUAGC
RNAcentral lists this long non-coding RNA (1226 nucleotides) under Podarcis muralis (Common wall lizard). RNAcentral's name for it is "lncRNA (ENSPMRG00000006675.1)". The record is from RNAcentral. Lineage: Eukaryota; Metazoa; Chordata; Lepidosauria; Squamata; Lacertidae.